RNAcentral lists this ribosomal RNA (422 nucleotides) under uncultured Lachnospiraceae bacterium. RNAcentral's name for it is "bacterial SSU rRNA". It matches the Rfam family "Bacterial small subunit ribosomal RNA", at positions 355 to 794 of the family's 1533-position model. Lineage: Bacteria; Bacillati; Bacillota; Clostridia; Lachnospirales; Lachnospiraceae. The record is from RNAcentral.
UGGGGAAUAUUGCACAAUGGGGGAAACCCUGAUGCAGCGACGCCGCGUGAGCGAAGAAGUAUUUCGGUAUGUAAAGCUCUAUCAGCAGGGAAGAAAAUGACGGUACCUGACUAAGAAGCCCCGGCUAACUACGUGCCAGCAGCCGCGGUAAUACGUGGGGGGCAAGCGUUAUCCGGAUUUACUGGGUGUAAAGGGAGCGUAGACGGCGAUGCAAGUCUGAAGUGAAAUACCCGGGCUCAACCUGGGAACUGCUUUGGAAACUGUAUGGCUAGAGUGCUGGAGAGGUAAGCGGAAUUCCUAGUGUAGCGGUGAAAUGCGUAGAUAUUGGGAGGAACACCAGUGGCGAAGGCGGCUUACUGGACAUUAACUGACGCUGAGGCGCGAAAGUGUGGGGAGCAAACAGGAUUAGAUACCCUGGUAGU